CCUUUGAUGGGCGGGCGACUCUGGAGCUUGGCUCCUCCCUUGUGGGUUUCCAAGGGGCAUUUGGACAAUGCGUAAAAUAGCGGUGGAGGCUGGGCGUGAGCGAGUUAGCUCGGACCCCAACAGCGAUCCUGGCCAGGUGACCCUGCCUGCCCAAGAGUGAACUCAGAGCGGACCUUCGCUGAGCAGGUAAGAAAUCCUACCCCAUACUCAAGUAUCCAAAAGAAACAGAAGAGGAUGAACAGGAGAAAAGAAGGGUGCCUGGGUGGCUCAGACGUUGAGCAUCUGCCUUUGGUUCAAGUCAUGGUCCUGGAGUCCUGGAGUCCUGGCAUUGAGUCCUGCAUCAGGCUCUGUGCUCAGUGGUGAGCCUGCUAUUCCCGCUCCCUCUGCCUGCCACUCCCCCUGCUUGUGCGCUUGCUCUCUCUGUGUCAAAUAAAUAGAAUCUUUUUUAAAAUUAAAAAAGACUUAUUGUGCUAAGCCAAUAAAUUCAUAUUCAUAAAAAUAAUCCUUAUGCCAAUAGAUUUCUAGUGUCUAGAUUUCUAGACACUUUUUAAAAGGGACCUUAGCAGUGCCUAAGUGGCUCAGUUGGUUAAGCUUCUGACUCUUGAUUUCAGCUCAGGUCACGAUCUCAGCAUUGUGAGAUCGAGCCCGGCAGGCUCUGCACUCAGUGAAGAGUAUACUUGAGAUUCUCCCUCUCCCUCUGCCCAUUCCCCCAUGUGCACAUGGGCAUGUGCACUCUCUCUCUUUCUAAAAUAAAUAAAUCUUUAAAAAAUAAAAUGAAAACUUAAAAGGACCUUUAAUCAGAUCCAAAGGAAAAGCAACAUGGGACACCCAUUUUGAAUAACUAAUACAAAACAUGGCACAGGCUAUUCAUACUUAGCUCACAGAGCAAAAUAAAAGAGCCGACAGGAAAAGAAUAUAAACCAAACAGCAAUUAUCUUUCUUUUUUUUUUGACCCCUGAUCUCUCCCCCUGCUACUUUAAUUGCCCCCUUUUCUUCUACUCAAACUUAACAUGGCCAGAACGGCAGCUCUUCAUUUCUACCCAGAUCUAUCCUUCUCCCAGUCUUCUUAUCAGUAACCAGCACCAACAUUCCCCACACCAAAACUGUGGGGGCAUCAUCUCUGAUUUGCCUCCCUUCUUCCAACUAUCCACAACUACUGAGCCUUCACUCAUAAAGUACAACAGGUCCUCCUCGUUGGUCUCUGCUACCUGUUGGCUGUAGGAGCAGUCACCUACUACUAAAGCGGUCCUCUUAUGGUCUCCAUGCUUCCAUUCCUGUCCCACAUCCUUCACACAGUGGUCUGAGUGAUCUUUUUAUAAAAUGAACGAUGUCAUUUGACUCCCUGCUUAAACACUUAGAAUAAAAUUAAAAGCUCUGAGGUCUACAAGGCCCUACCUGAUAUACAACUUUUCCAACCGCAUCUCACACCAACCACUCCUUCCUUUCCUCACUAGCUUCACCCACACUAACUACCUCUCUGUUCAGCAAGCAUGCCAACUCCUUCUUUGUCUGGGCCUUUGCCCUUGCUGCUUCCCCUGCCUGGAAUGCCUGUGUUCUUCUUUACAUGGAAUGGUAGUUUAAAAGGGAGUUUUUGACACUCCCUUCAAGGGACUCACUUCCAACAAAAAGAAUAAGGCAGAAGUGACAAUGUGUAUUAUUUCUAAUACUAAGUCAUAAAUGGCAAUUUUUUAUACCUCAGUUGAAAGAAAAAAGUAAUAUUUUUUUAUUACUUUAUUACUAUUAUAUUGUAAGAGUCUUCUUAGAAGACUCACUCUAUGGCAUUGUUUCUCAACUUUUUUUACUGUGUACCUAAGAAGCCUUCUGGACAUUAUUUUCCUAAUAGUCCUCCAAUAAAAUUUUAAUGGCACAAACAUACUGUACAUCUGUUUAUGUAUCAUGAUUCUUCAGGAGGCUACAAACCAUUGUAAAAUCUGAAGGUUUUCUGCUCUCCACCUCAAGAACCAGUUUUCACCCUCUUGGCAGCCAUUAUUGGCCCCACUGAGAAUGAAUGCUACAGGAGAAGCCAGCUGCCAAUGUUGUGAGGAAUCUCAAGUAGUACUAUGGAAAGAUCCACCAAAUGGGAAAGUGAGGUCUCCUGCCAACAGCCAGUGAGAAGAAAGUCUGUUGCUAAUAGUGAUGUGAGUGAGAAUUCUUGGAAGUAUAUCAUUCAGUUGACUUCAGCCCCACCCUAUAUUUUGACUAGAACCUAUGACAAAUCCUAAUCUAGAGUAAGUAAGAUGCCUGGCUCUUAAAAAACUGAUAAAAAAGAUAUUUAUUCAAGCCAUUAUAUUUUGUGGUAAUUUGUCACACAGCAACAGAAAACUCAUUUAGACCUUGGUACCUGAAAGUAGGGUGCUGCCACACCAAAAAUCUAAAAUACGGAAGAGGCUCUGGAAUCAGGCAGUGGAUGGCAGAUGGCAGGUCUUUGAGCUAAAAGCUAAAAAAAUCUUGAAAAAACUGUUUAUAGAAGGAAGCUGUGGGUCACAGCUUAGAGUAAAGUGAGGAAAACCUUAUUGGAAACUGGAGAUAAGAAAAUCCUUGUUUUGUACUGGCAAAAAAAAAUUAGCAACACUGUCACCUGUGGGAACACAGAAAGUAGAAAAUGUACCUAACGAGGUGUGGGUUCGAACUAAAGGAGAUUUCCAGACAAAAUACUGAAGGUACUUGCUGGCCUCUUGCUGCUUAUACUAAAAUACAAGAGCAAAGACAAAGGAUGUGAUUGUAAAAUCCUUUGUUAAAACUCACA
Long non-coding RNA from Mustela lutreola (European mink), 2746 nucleotides. RefSeq lists it as uncharacterized. Lineage: Eukaryota; Metazoa; Chordata; Mammalia; Carnivora; Mustelidae. The record is from RefSeq and is a predicted model, not a curated record. The transcript has 3 exons.